This 400-nucleotide ribosomal RNA is filed under the name uncultured bacterium. Its description in RNAcentral is "bacterial SSU rRNA". It matches the Rfam family "Bacterial small subunit ribosomal RNA", at positions 355 to 747 of the family's 1533-position model. The record is from RNAcentral.
UGGGGAAUAUUGGGCAAUGGGCGCAAGCCUGACCCAGCCACGCCGCGUGAGCGAUGAAGGCCUUCGGGUUGUAAAGCUCUGUGGGGAGGGGCGAAAGGCGGCGGAGCGAAUAGUGAGCCGUUUGACGGUACCUCCUUAGCAAGCACCGGCUAACUCUGUGCCAGCAGCCGCGGUAAGACAGAGGGUGCAAACGUUGCUCGGAUUUACUGGGCGUAAAGCGCGUGUAGGCGGGAAGCGAAGUCGGGUGUGAAAUCCCUGGGCUCAACCUAGGAACGGCAUCCGAAACUUUCUUUCUGGAGUCAUGGAGAGGAGAGCGGAAUUCCCGGUGUAGAGGUGAAAUUCGUAGAUAUCGGGAGGAACACCAGUGGCGAAGGCGGCUCUCUGGCCAUGUACUGACGCU